RNAcentral lists this long non-coding RNA (1533 nucleotides) under Bos taurus (domestic cattle). Its description in RNAcentral is "long non-coding RNA NONBTAT000454". Lineage: Eukaryota; Metazoa; Chordata; Mammalia; Artiodactyla; Bovidae. The record is from RNAcentral.
AGAUUAACUAUCUUCAGUGCUUCUUACUUCAAGAGCACUCACCAAGGAGCUUCCUGAACUCUUCUCAGUAGGCCAGAUGGCCCUCAAGAGGACCGCACAUCUCAGGACCGUGAGUGACUUCUGACUCUACUAUAGAAGCUGUAGACAUUCUGGUCCCCCCAGUCAUGCUGGGGACAGUGUUCAUGUGUAGGUGUGGUCCAGACCUGAGACGCCUCUACCAAGCCACACACUGGAGCAGAAGGCGAAAUGGGUCCUAAGGAUCUCUCGGUUCCGGAGGAAAACCCUCUAGAAGAGGGAUGAAAAGGAAGGAAGUAGAAAGAAUGCUGGGCACAGAAGUGUGAGCACUUGAGUACUCCUCACAACUCUCUGAGAAUCCCUAAGGAAGUGCCAGCAUCUGGAUCCUUUAGGUGGAAAGAUAACCUGGAAUCCUGGACAGCUGUGUGCGUUUGUACAGAUGGUUGGACACCCUCCCAGCAGCUUCUCCAUCAUGUUCUCUGAUGCUCAUCGCUGGAUUUUGCAUGCUGCCUGCAGUGGGGGUGUCCGAGCUGAGCUACUGAGAGCAUAUGCACUCCACCAAUGCUUGGUCUUCCAGCCUUUGUUUUGCUUAGAGUAAUUUAAGCCCCAGCCUUUAGCUUCCGCAACUUGAGAGGUCACAACACAAACGCUUCUGGGAAAAUAUGGUUUAACUGUCCCUUCUCUUGGACUUGAAUCUCUCUCCAAAGAUGUUUCUGGGAUUUUGCUAUUAAUUUUUUAAGGCUUUCUGUGGAAAGGCCGAAGAAAGUGAGUGCCCUCGCUUUCUUAAUCUUCCUUCAAUUCUGGUAUUAAACUUCAGUGAUAAGCUCUGAAAUUCCCUAGCCUACCCUCAGGGUUUUAUUUGUGUUGUCAUUGUUUCAUUUUGGUCUUGAUCUUAGAACUUGGUCAACUGCUAAGGACUAGAUCAUUUCCUUUCUUUUAAUACUUUGUUACUUGGCAAAGAGAUAUACGGAGGCAAGAGGAGAAUUGUUCUGCUCUGUUUUAUUUCAGCCUCAGCUUUGCCCAGGUGCUUGGUGCUAUGAGGCCAGGUGUGUUGACAGGUAUCUACACAGGAUGCCAAUGAUACCCAAGGGCUGCUGACUAUUCAGUGAAAUGUUUACUUGAUUUUUCCCUUUAGUGUUAAAAUAUAUAGUUGCACUUCACUUGGGUUGUAACAUUUAAGUGCACCUCAGUGUUCGCAUGAUAAAAAAGCACAGAAAACGGUACCAAGGUUGCAUACAUGGAGCCUUGCUCUUUGUGGAGGGGUAGAUGCUCACUCCUUCAUGCAUGCAUUUUGAAAUUCUGCACAGGGAGUUCUAGGAGAUAGGAGGAGGAUUAUUUACAGUUCAUCCUUGAUAAACACUCCUGAAUUGGCAGAAUUGCUGCCCUAAGACUCAGUUGCUUAAUAUAUUGUAAAGGAUGUGUGUGUUCUGCUCCUUGACCUCAAGUCAAGCAGGAGACUCAAUGAUGGGACCAACCGGAAAGAAACUUUAGGUCUAUGACUCCUUCUGCCACUGCAAA